GCCAAAUCCUGCCCUAAUUUACACCUGUGAGACCAAUGGGACUGCAGACAUGCACAUGAGAAUACAGCUAAAAGCAUGCUGAAGUUGUUUGCCUGUUUUGAAAAGUUGUGUGGAGGAUGACUGCUGAGAAAUGUCACUUAGGAUUAUAUCAUUCCUAAACCUGCCUCAGGGACCCCUCCCAGGAAGGUCAUGCUUGCAGCGAUGUGAAGAAAGGGCAGGUUUUGCCAGAGAGACCUCCAAGUGCACAUGCUGGCACACAGGCUAGAAUGUCACCUGCUGAAGUGACUGACAGUCCCUUUCACCCUGCUCUCUGCACCUCCCUCCCUGCCUGAUGGGAAGGUUGUUCCUCGGUUGCUGGAGUUCAUUCCUGUGUGCAGAACGCUGUUCAGUAGAGGAAGCUGGGGGAGGGCCAUCCUGCUGCCCCAGCUGGUGCUCCACCUAAGGCUUUUCCUGCACCUGUCUUCACAAGCAUCGGAGCUUUCGUGUUUCGUCUCUUUUUGUGGCCAGAUGAAGUCAUCUUGGAGCAUGGGUGCGGUGGUGAAAGACACACAGAGUGAAUUUACAUCUCUUGGAUAAAGGAGAAACCGAAGAAAGAUUUCCCCUGUGAGCUGGUUUUUAUCGUCAGUGUGAACAUCUUAGUCAGCACAAGCUCAGACUUCUAAAAUUGUGCAGCCGUGUGCUGUGAGAGCUACAGCCUCUGCAGCUUCCUGCUUCCCUGGAUCAGCCAAGGAUAAAGGCUCCAGGAUCUGGUGCUCCUCUGGCAGGAAUGGCUGAGCCCAGGCCAGGUGAGCGGCAGGCUCUGAAACUUUGUGUGUGACCCUGCUCCUCUGGAAUGUGGGAAAACACCCUUCCAUUUGAUUCCAACAAAUCACCUCAAGCCAGAUCCUGUAGCAUGUUGAGCAUCAGUGGAUAUAGAACUAGAGAACAGAAUUAGCUGGGAGAAUCCUAAUGUUUUGUGAAAUCAUUUCCAUGACACAGACGUGAUACCAGAGUGGGAUGCUGCAUGUUUAAGUACUCAAGUCUCCAGGAAGCAAGAAUAUGCAGAUACUCUGACUCACUAGAUGAAAAAUUACUUGUAGUGACUCAAACACUUGGAUGCUGUGGAUUCCUAAUUAAUCACUGUGCUCCACCAUGAGUCCAAAAUCCUCCUUUCAGGACCAGAGAAUGUUUGUGGCCUUGAGGAUUCCAGCUCUGGUGCAGCUGUCUAGGUGGACAGAUUAACCUCUUGCUGCCUGUCUGCCGUAUGGUCUGCAGACCUAAAUAAUUUCUGGGCUGUUAGCACAAAUGACCUGGUAGGCUCUGAAAGCUUGAUGAUGGUAGUUUUGCCUAAAAGAGGGACUUAACAGGGAACACUUUAUUGGGGUGCCCAUGUGACUUGAGGAAUCCCCAGGAAGGUCUGCUGCAGGUUUGGCAGCAAUCUCACGGUCAAGGGGCUGCAGAC
This 1441-nucleotide long non-coding RNA is filed under the name Serinus canaria (Common canary). RNAcentral describes it as "lncRNA (ENSSCAG00000001866.1)". Lineage: Eukaryota; Metazoa; Chordata; Aves; Passeriformes; Fringillidae. The record is from RNAcentral.